This 175-nucleotide ribosomal RNA is filed under the name uncultured bacterium. Its description in RNAcentral is "partial 16S ribosomal RNA". It matches the Rfam family "Bacterial small subunit ribosomal RNA", at positions 1326 to 1500 of the family's 1533-position model. The record is from RNAcentral.
UCGGAAUCGCUAGUAAUCGCGGAUCAGCAUGCCGCGGUGAAUACGUUCCCGGGCCUUGUACACACCGCCCGUCACACCAUGAGAGUUUGUAACACCCAAAGCCGGUGGGGUAACCUUUUGGAGCCAGCCGUCUAAGGUGGGACAGAUGAUUGGGGUGAAGUCGUAACAAGGUAGC